GAUGAAGAACGUAGCGAAAUGCGAUAAGUAAUGUGAAUUGCAGAAUUCAGUGAAUCAUCGAAUCUUUGAACGCACAUUGCGCCCCCUGGAAUUCCGGGGGGCAUGCCUGUUCGAGCGUCUCAGGGACGAACCCUCGCGCGGGUGUACGUGCGGUCGUGGCUGCGGUGGCGUGCCCGAGGCGGCGGCCACCGCGCUGGAAUCCAUGGGCGGACGCCUGCCGCGUGGCCGAGCGUGAUAUGACGCAUUGGCGCUCGCACGCGGAGAGGCUGCCAGCCCUGGCCCGUCUGUCGGGCGGGGGAGAGCAAGACACGUGAACUCCUCGAAUCAGGUAGGGAUACCCGCUGAACUUAAGCAUAUCAAUAAGCGGAGGA
RNAcentral lists this unclassified non-coding RNA (371 nucleotides) under soil metagenome. RNAcentral describes it as "partial contains 5.8S ribosomal RNA, internal transcribed spacer 2, and large subunit ribosomal RNA". The stretch from base 1 to 120 matches the Rfam family "5.8S ribosomal RNA", at positions 35 to 154 of the family's 154-position model. The record is from RNAcentral.